Pangasius djambal is the source of this 87-nucleotide non-coding RNA. Lineage: Eukaryota; Metazoa; Chordata; Actinopteri; Siluriformes; Pangasiidae. The record is from the annotation of a GenBank genome assembly.
GUAUCUGUGGCCUAAUGGUUAGAGAGUCAGACUUAUAGCCUGAAAGUAAACUUGAAGGUCGUGGGUUCGAAUCGCAGGUCUGGCAGG